This 857-nucleotide long non-coding RNA is filed under the name Homo sapiens (human). RNAcentral's name for it is "long non-coding RNA NONHSAT192678". The record is from RNAcentral. Lineage: Eukaryota; Metazoa; Chordata; Mammalia; Primates; Hominidae.
GGUUGUCAAUGAGGAUAUUUAUUGGGGUUUCAUGAGUGCAGGGAGAAGGGCUGGAUGACUUGGGAUGGGGAGAGAGACCCCUCCCCUGGGAUCCUGCAGCUCCAGGCUCCCGUGGGUGGGGUUAGAGUUGGGAACCUAUGAACAUUCUGUAGGGGCCACUGUCUUCUCCACGGUGCUCCCUUCAUGCGUGACCUGGCAGCUGUAGCUUCUGUGGGACUUCCACUGCUCGGGCGUCAGGCUCAGGUAGCUGCUGGCCGCGUACUUGUUGUUGCUCUGUUUGGAGGGUUUGGUGGUCUCCACUCCCGCCUUGACGGGGCUGCCAUCUGCCUUCCAGGCCACUGUCACAGCUCCCGGGUAGAAGUCACUGAUCAGACACACUAGUGUGGCCUUGUUGGCUUGGAGCUCCUCAGAGGAGGGCGGGAACAGAGUGACAGUGGGGUUGGCCUUGGGCUGACCUGUGUGGACAGGGAAGGGGGUGAGAGAGGGCAGACAGAAUACCGGGGUGCUGUCAUCCCAUGCUGCACAGUAAUAAUCAGCCUCAUCCUCGGACCGGAGCCCACUGAUGGCCAGGGAGGCUGAGGUGCCAGACUUGGAGCCAGAGAAUCGGUCAGGGACCCCUGAGGGCCGCUGAUUAUUACUAUAGAUGAGGAGUUUGGGGGCCGUUCCUGGGAGCUGCUGGUACCAGUAUACAUAAUUACUUCCGAUGUUGGAGCUGCUUCCAGAACAAGAGAUGGUGACCCUCUGCCCGGGGGUCCCAGACGCUGAGGGUGGCUGAGUCAGCACAGACUGGGCCCAGGACCCUGGAAUGAGUGAGGAGGGUGAGGAGGAGAGGGAAGCCGGCCAUGCUGGAGAUUGUC